This 1123-nucleotide long non-coding RNA is filed under the name Junco hyemalis (dark-eyed junco). Its description in RNAcentral is "lncRNA (ENSJHYG00000010908.1)". The record is from RNAcentral. Lineage: Eukaryota; Metazoa; Chordata; Aves; Passeriformes; Passerellidae.
AGAGUUGAAAAUUGAGAUUUUGAGACGAAUAUCUGAGAUUAUUUGGGUUCCGGGGGGUUUUAGGGGUGGUUUGGGGGGUUUAGGGGUCGGUAACGGUCGAGGAACCGCCGGUAACGGCGAUUUUGGGGCCAAUAACGGAGAUUUUCGGGGUUCCGUGUCCGGUAACGGCCGGGCCGUUCCGGUAACGCAGAUUUUGGGGUAAAAAUUGAGAUUUAGGGGUCCAUAACUGAGAUUUGGGGCGAAUAACGGAGAUUUAGGAGUCAAUAACAGAUAUUUGAGGUAAAUAACGGAGAUUUUGGGGGUUCCGGGACCGGCAACGGCCGGGCCCUUUCGGUAACGCAGAUUUUGGCAUGAAAUGUCGGAUUUGGGGUGAUUUGGGGCGGAUUCGCGGGAUUUCGGGAUUAUCUGGGGAAUUCGGGGCCGGUUUGGGGCAGAUUUUGAGGCAAUUUCGGGCCAAUUUUGGGGCAAUUUCGGAGUUUUUUGGGGUCGGCCCCGGCUGCCCCUCACGCCAAGCCCCGCCCCCUUCGGCCUCUGAUUGGCCGGGAGCUCAGCAGCGCCUCCGGAUUGGCUGAGAGCGGGGGAGUUGGAAAGGUGGGCGCGACCCGCUGGCGCCUCCGCUUCCCAUUGGCCGGUGGGGCGUCCCGCGGGAGGCGCUGAUUGGCUGCAAGGGGCGGGAGGGGCGGGGUUUGCCCUCCGGCGGUCACGUGGCGCGGGUGUCGCGCGGAGCGCGCGCGCGGAGCGGCCGCAGGUGCGCUCACCUGUCCCAGGUGUGCCGAUGGCCGCCGCCCGCCUGGGCUGGCCCCGCGUGGGCUCCUCGGUUCUGUUCCUGUGCGAUCUCCAGGAGCGGUUCCGCGACUCCAUCGUCGCCUUCCCGCAGAUCGUGGCCGUGGCCGCGCGCAUGCUGCAGGUGGGGACGCCGGAACGGCCCCAAAUCGCCCCAAAAAUAACCCUAAAACACCCUCAGAAAUAUCCCAAAACCAUCCCCUAAAUACCCCGAAAACAGCAAAAAAAACCACCCCGAAAACAGCCCCAAAACACCCCAAAACCACCCUAAAAACACCCCCGAAAUCACCCCAAAAAUAACCCUAAAACCACCCUAAAAUCAUCCCCAAAAUACCCCCAA